RNAcentral lists this ribosomal RNA (420 nucleotides) under uncultured bacterium. Its description in RNAcentral is "bacterial SSU rRNA". It matches the Rfam family "Bacterial small subunit ribosomal RNA", at positions 356 to 773 of the family's 1533-position model. The record is from RNAcentral.
GAGGAAUAUUGGUCAAUGGGCGUAAGCCUGAACCAGCCAUCCCGCGUGAAGGAAGAAGGCGCUAUGCGUCGUAAACUUCUUUUCCAGAAGAAGAAAACCCCCGACGUGUCGGGGCUUGCCGGUACUCUGGGAAUAAGCAUCGGCUAACUCCGUGCCAGCAGCCGCGGUAAUACGGAGGAUGCGAGCGUUAUCCGGAUUUAUUGGGUUUAAAGGGUGCGUAGGCGGAUUAAUAAGUCAGUGGUGAAAACCUGCAGCUUAACUGUAGAAUUGCCAUUGAUACUGUUAGUCUUGAGUACGGUCAAGGUAGGCGGAAUGUGUAAUGUAGCGGUGAAAUGCUUAGAUAUUACACAGAACACCGAUUGCGAAGGCAGCUUACUGGGCCAUUACUGACGCUGAUGCACGAAAGCGUGGGGAGCGAAC